Molecule: signal recognition particle RNA, 294 nt
Filed under: Mesocricetus auratus (golden hamster)
Lineage: Eukaryota; Metazoa; Chordata; Mammalia; Rodentia; Cricetidae
Description: Metazoan signal recognition particle RNA (ENSMAUG00000003896.1)
Rfam family: Metazoan signal recognition particle RNA
About the family: The signal recognition particle (SRP) is a universally conserved ribonucleoprotein.
Source: RNAcentral
GCCAGGCAUGGUGGCACAUGCCUGUAGUCCCAGCUACUCGGGAGGCUGAGACAGGAGGAUCGCUUGAGUCUAGGAGUUCUGGGCUGUAGUGUGCUAUACUGAUUGGGUGUCCACACUAAGUUCAGCAUCAAUAUGGUGACCUCCCGGGAGAGGGGCGGGCACCAGAUUGCCUAAGGAGGGGUGAAACCAACUAUACACAACCACAAAGAGGGUCCCCCAGACUAUGACCAUGUUAGUUAUCUUCUCUCAAACUUACAGCCCCCCAGAACUGUGAGAAAUGAGCUUUUUGUUUUU